This is a long non-coding RNA of Nothobranchius furzeri (turquoise killifish), 2671 nucleotides long. The record is from Ensembl. NCBI's taxonomy places the organism in Eukaryota, Metazoa, Chordata, Actinopteri, Cyprinodontiformes, Nothobranchiidae.
AUGUCUUCAGCCCAGUCUCUGAGAGAGUUUAUCAGAGAGCGGCUAACUGCUGCUGCUGCAGAAAUAUUCUCCGAGUUUGAACAAACCAUCGUCCGCUACGAGGAAGAGAUCGAUCGUCAGCGCAGACUGCUGGAGAUCAGCUGGAAACCACAGAUCAACUUACACAGAAUAGAACUCCCACUGCAUUAUGUCAGGACAGAUGAGGAGGUUCUGACUGACCAGCAGCUCUGGAACCAGGAGAGGACCUCCAGUUUGGACCAGGAACAACCAGAACCUUUACAGGAGGGACCAGAACCUCCACAGAUGAAAGUGGAGCAGGAUGAGUCAGAACCUUUGCAGGUUCUAGAACAAGAGGAGCUCUGCAUGAGUCAGGAUGAAGAGCAGCUUGUACUGAAGCAGGAGACGGUUACCUCCCUUGUGACUCCUGCUGAUGAGGACAGAGACCACCAUGGACCAGAACCAGACAGAAACCAGCUCCUUUUGUCACUGCUUCCUGAGGCUGAGAUCAGAGCUGUUGCUCCUCCAGGGUCAACAGGUGAGGAGUUCUAUGCUGUUUCCCAACUGUGAUGUCAUGAUAAGGGACUUUUAGAAAUUGCAUAUUUUAGGCACAUCAUUCCUGAAUCCAGAAAAUGAAUGGACAAUUUUUAUUCAAUUUUGGAGUGCUUAUAGGGAGCCUAAGGCACGCCCAUCUACAUCUGGACCACGGGUCCCCAGAAGAACGAAAAGAUGAAUGCAGGUCAAUCAGGCUAAAAACGCUGUUUUCUAAUUCCGCUUCUUAUAUGCCACGGAUUUCACAUAUGAUGUCCGUGAAUUUUAAACACUCCUUUUGAUACCAAGAACGUGCUUAUUUUCGAACGGGGAGAAACUGUAUUUUAGGUUUUGUUUGAAAUAAAGUCCAGGACUACAAAUGCGCUUCACGAAAGUGACGUCAUCGAACCAGACGCAGAGAAAACAGAGGGAAAAUGGCUGUAAGUUCAGCGAACUUCAAAUCCCUCCCGCAGGAGAAAAGAACCAUUUUGCGACGUGCCGAUGUAGUCAUGCUAAUUACGAACUUUUUCAAACUGAUAAAUCUCAAACUACUUGAGUGGCGUGGUCGAAACACUCAUCAUUAUUUUUCAUUCAAACUGCGGUACAACAUAUGUGCGAUCCAGGGCGUAAGGUUAGGAAAUAGCGUUUUUAGCCCCGUUGACUUGCAUUCAUGUUUUCGUUCUUCUGAGGACCCGUGAGCCGACCAGAAAGGGAAGAGACUUAGGCUCCCUAUAGAGGCAGUAAAGACCCCACAUGACAGCACAGUGGAAUGUAACAAGUGGUUUUAGAAUCAAAUAUCCCAUUUAAACAUGUUGUGAACUUGUUUCUUUCUGUCAUUUUCUUAGCAGCAAGUAAGAAGAUAACCUGAAGGUUCAUUAUUUUCCAUAACAUCUUUAGAUCAGCUGAUUGUGUUUGUAAUUGUUUUUUUUUUUUUUUUUUUUUUACCCAUGUCCUGUCUGGCUGUGAAGCAAACAGAAUUGAUGUCUGAAUGCUGGUGACAAGCCUUACAGAUUUACUCUCAGGUUGAGCAUCAAAGCGUCUGCUUUUGAUGUCACGCCUGAUACUUAAAACUUUAUUGUUAUUGUUUUUUGAACGGACCAGACACGGAGUCAGAGGUGAAAGAGAAAGGAAGAGACAAAAGGGGGGGGGGGGGUUUCCACAAAAACACUCAAUCUGCUUCUAGACCUACAGAAGGAGGGGAAACAAAAGAAAAGGGACACACAACAAUACAACAGGAGCAAGCUAUCACUGCGUCAACCUGAUGAGGAAAUAUUAAAUCAACAUUGUUUAACUGAACAAUCACACGAUGAUAAAUCACAGUGCAUUUAGUGGCAACCACAGCUGACAUGUGUUGAACGUGCCCAAGUCCAUACUUAUGAUAGCACCAUGUGAGCACCUGUGUGCGUACACACGCUUGCAUAUGUAAGGUUUCUCUAUAGGAGCGUCCAAUAGAGAGUGUGAGGGGUCACAGAUCUGCCCCCCAAAGAUGCGUAGGAGAUGGAUGGAGCUCCAAGCCCCAGAGAUCCAGGAGCUGCCCCAGAGCGCAGGGACCCCAGGGAGACUGCGACCAGAAAAGCCCCUGCCCCCCUCAAGAGGCGCAAUGGAUUGCCCCGGGGGGCCACAACCAGCAGCCGGCAGAGUCCCGGGGGAUAUCAGCGGCAAGCCCACAGGCCCACCCGCAGCCUCCCACCCCGAGCCCGGAACCCAGCGACCCGGGACCCAGGUUCACUGGAGUUUUUGACAAUUAAAAUUGCGCCUCCAUUUUCGAACACAUCUCUUUUAACAACGGUAGUUUCUGCAUCCUACUUCAGCCAUCUCCCCCCUCCCGCUGCGCAGCGGCCGCAAACUCACUGAUGCGCCUGCAGCCUCUCAGAGUUUCUGCUGCUCUAAACAUUAAAAUAAUUAUUUCAUUUUCUGUUCCUCACUUCUGAUUACCUUCAAUUGUGUCUGUUUGUUGCAACCAGCAGGUACAAAAACUAACUUGUUUUUAUUUGACUAUUUUUCUGUCCUGUCUGUUUAUUAUCUUCCUGCAUCUCCUCUCAAUCCUAAAGAAAAACUGCUACCUGGGUUCAUAUAUAUUCACCUCAUGAGUUACCUUUGAACUGCAGUUCUAAAAGAUCUACCGACCGCAAAAACAGCGGAG